This 1178-nucleotide unclassified non-coding RNA is filed under the name Hevea brasiliensis (rubber tree). The record is from RNAcentral. Lineage: Eukaryota; Viridiplantae; Streptophyta; Magnoliopsida; Malpighiales; Euphorbiaceae.
GCUCAUUCCACAUACACCAAAGCUUCACAGUUUAACUUGCUACUGUACGCUGAAAUGCAACACUCUCUAGGCCAUUGGUGGAGCGAGCAAUUUUACUUGGGGGCAGUGGUCUACACUUAUAUUAUUGUAAAUUGGAUUGUUGACCUUUAUUUAUAGUUCCUACACAUAAACUAUUAUAGGUUCCAUAUUGGAUUUGGCAUAAAUGGCACUGGAGCUCAUACCUAUAGGAACCAUUUUGGCUGUGCUGACAAAUCAGGUCCUAAAAACAGCUCAGGCUGCAAAGGAUGUUAUAAUUGAGAAGGAGAGUUUCAGGGUUCUGUCAAAGCAUCUAUUUGAUAUUGAACCUGUGUUAAAGGAAUUGCAACUUAAAAAAUUGAAUGAUUCUCAAGCUGCAAGGCUAGCCCUUGAAACACUUGAAGUGGAUGUCAAAAAGGCAAGUAACUUGGUUGAGAAAUAUAAAAAUCGAGCCCGUUUCUAUUUAUUGUUGAGGUGCCGGCACAUUGUCAAUGAGGUACAGGAAGUCACUAGGGAUAUUGGAAGGUCUUUGGCUGCAUUAUCCCUUGCAAAUACUGAAGUUCUUGCAGGAAUAUCUGACCAGGUGAAUAGGCUACAGAAUGAAAUGCAAAGGGUGGAAUUUGAAGCAUCACAUUCUCAGCUUCAAAUUGUUGACAAGUUAAAUCAGGGCCUUCGGGAUCAGAAACUUGAUCAGGGUUUUGCAAAUGACAUACUUGAAGAAAUAGCUCGGGCAGUUGGGGUUCCUGUAGAACCUUCAGAAAUAAGCAAAGAACUGGCAAGCUUUAGAAAGGAAAAAGAAGAAGCUGCCAGCCGAAAAGAAAGGGCUGAAGUUCUCUUCUUAGAGCAGGUUAUUGAGCUGCUUUCUCGAGCUGAUGCUGCUAGAGAUUAUGAAGAAGUCAAGAAGCAGUAUUUUCAGAGGGUUCAGGUUAUAGAGCGGUACGAUGAGAGGGAGGAAUAUAUAGAUCCUCUUUCUCCUUUCCUUUGUCGUAUAAAUGGGACUGUGAUGAAUGAUCCUGUUAGCCUUUGCACUGGUACUACAUGUGAGAGAGCUGCCAUUGAAGCUUGGUUUGACCGUGGAGAGAGAACUGACCCAGAAACUGGUCAGAUUCUUGAGGACAUAACUUUGAGGUCAAACCUUCCCCUUAGACAAUCAAUAGAGGAAU